Molecule: long non-coding RNA, 392 nt
Organism: Empidonax traillii (willow flycatcher)
Lineage: Eukaryota; Metazoa; Chordata; Aves; Passeriformes; Tyrannidae
Exons: 4
Source: RefSeq, a predicted model, not a curated record
CGGGCGGGCGGGUCCGCGGGUGUGCCCGGCGCGCGGAGGAAGAACUUGGAAGAUGUCUGUGUUCUGCACUGUGAAAGCUGAGUUGAGACAGCUUUUAAAGGAAAAUUCUAGCAGGCAACAAAUAAGAUACUGGAGCCUGAAAGAAUACAUAGAGUUUUUGAAACAAAAAGUGUGAAACAAGUCUUUCUACUACCCAGGCCCCUGCUGUGCAACAUGAUGAUCACAUAGGAAGAAGGAGGCAAAAUGAAGUAACACACAGGAUUCAAACAACCAUUAUACAGAUUCCAAAGUCACCAUCAAGACCCGCCAUAAAAGCUAUUGAACCCAAAAAGUUCCUAAUGAAGAAAAUAGAAGCAGAGGUAAUAAUCAUCCAUAUUCUUUUAAUGUUAACU